UACAGAGGUCCCAAGCGUUGUUCGGAUUCAUUGGGCGUAAAGGGUGUGUAGGUGGCGCCGUAAGUCGGGUGUGAAAUUUCGGAGCUUAACUCCGAAACUGCAUUCGAUACUGCGGUGCUUGAGGACUGGAGAGGAGACUGGAAUUCCUGGUGUAGCGGUGAAAUGCGCAGAUAUCAGGAGGAACACCAAUUGCGAAGGCAGCUCGCUGGGACGUUACUGACGCUGAGACGCGAAAGCGUGGGGAGCAAACAGG
RNAcentral lists this ribosomal RNA (253 nucleotides) under uncultured bacterium. Its description in RNAcentral is "partial 16S ribosomal RNA". It matches the Rfam family "Bacterial small subunit ribosomal RNA", at positions 524 to 776 of the family's 1533-position model. The record is from RNAcentral.